This 1454-nucleotide ribosomal RNA is filed under the name Bacillus toyonensis. RNAcentral describes it as "bacterial LSU rRNA". It matches the Rfam family "Bacterial large subunit ribosomal RNA", at positions 1 to 1449 of the family's 2925-position model. Lineage: Bacteria; Bacillati; Bacillota; Bacilli; Caryophanales; Bacillaceae. The record is from RNAcentral.
GUUUGGUUAAGUUAGAAAGGGCGCACGGUGGAUGCCUUGACACUAGGAGUCGAUGAAGGACGGGACUAACGCCGAUAUGCUUCGGGGAGCUGUAAGUAAGCUUUGAUCCGAAGAUUUCCGAAUGGGGAAACCCACUAUACGUAAUGGUAUGGUAUCCUUACCUGAAUACAUAGGGUAUGGAAGACAGACCCAGGGAACUGAAACAUCUAAGUACCUGGAGGAAGAGAAAGCAAAUGCGAUUUCCUGAGUAGCGGCGAGCGAAACGGAACAUAGCCCAAACCAAGAGGCUUGCCUCUUGGGGUUGUAGGACAUUCUAUACGGAGUUACAAAGGAACGAGGUAGACGAAGCGACCUGGAAAGGUCCGUCGUAGAGGGUAACAACCCCGUAGUCGAAACUUCGUUCUCUCUUGAAUGUAUCCUGAGUACGGCGGAACACGUGAAAUUCCGUCGGAAUCUGGGAGGACCAUCUCCCAAGGCUAAAUACUCCCUAGUGAUCGAUAGUGAACCAGUACCGUGAGGGAAAGGUGAAAAGCACCCCGGAAGGGGAGUGAAAGAGAUCCUGAAACCGUGUGCCUACAAAUAGUCAGAGCCCGUUAAUGGGUGAUGGCGUGCCUUUUGUAGAAUGAACCGGCGAGUUACGAUCCCGUGCAAGGUUAAGCUGAAGAGGCGGAGCCGCAGCGAAAGCGAGUCUGAAUAGGGCGUUUAGUACGUGGUCGUAGACCCGAAACCAGGUGAUCUACCCAUGUCCAGGGUGAAGUUCAGGUAACACUGAAUGGAGGCCCGAACCCACGCACGUUGAAAAGUGCGGGGAUGAGGUGUGGGUAGCGGAGAAAUUCCAAUCGAACCUGGAGAUAGCUGGUUCUCCCGAAAUAGCUUUAGGGCUAGCCUUAAGUGUAAGAGUCUUGGAGGUAGAGCACUGAUUGAACUAGGGGUCCUCAUCGGAUUACCGAAUUCAGUCAAACUCCGAAUGCCAAUGACUUAUCCUUAGGAGUCAGACUGCGAGUGAUAAGAUCCGUAGUCAAGAGGGAAACAGCCCAGAUCGCCAGCUAAGGUCCCAAAGUGUGUAUUAAGUGGAAAAGGAUGUGGAGUUGCUUAGACAACUAGGAUGUUGGCUUAGAAGCAGCCACCAUUUAAAGAGUGCGUAAUAGCUCACUAGUCGAGUGACUCUGCGCCGAAAAUGUACCGGGGCUAAAUACACCACCGAAGCUGCGAAUUGAUACCAAUGGUAUCAGUGGUAGGGGAGCGUUCUAAGUGCAGUGAAGUCAGACCGGAAGGACUGGUGGAGCGCUUAGAAGUGAGAAUGCCGGUAUGAGUAGCGAAAGACGGGUGAGAAUCCCGUCCACCGAAUGCCUAAGGUUUCCUGAGGAAGGCUCGUCCGCUCAGGGUUAGUCAGGACCUAGCCGAGGCCGACAGGCGUAGGCGAUGGACAACAGGUUGAUAUUCCUGUACCACCU